CAGCCGCCGCGGUAAUACGAGGGGGGCAAGCGUAGUUCGGAAUUAUUGGGCGUAAAGGGUGCGUAGGCGGCUUGACAAGUCUUGUGUGAAAUCUAUGGGCUCAACCCAUAGUCUGCACGGGAAACUGUCGGGCUUGAGAAUGGGAGAGGUGAGUGGAAUUUCCGGUGUAGCGGUGAAAUGCGUAGAUAUCGGAAGGAACACCUGUGGCGAAAGCGGCUCACUGGACCAUUUCUGACACUGAUGCACGAAAGCUAGGGGAGCAAACAGGAUUAGAUACCCGGGUAGUCCCUGUCUCUUAUAC
Molecule: ribosomal RNA, 301 nt
Filed under: uncultured bacterium
Lineage: Bacteria
Description: partial 16S ribosomal RNA
Rfam family: Bacterial small subunit ribosomal RNA
Source: RNAcentral